GGGGAAUACAGAAAAUGUGUUGCUUGCAGGGAUCUUCCUAAACUCCAAAGGUUUUAAUGAAAGGACCCAUACAGGAGACAAUCUCAAAAGGUCCAAAAUACAGGUCAGUGUAAAAUGUAGCUGACUGAAGGAAGACUGGUAAAUUCUGAAUUUUUCCAUAAUGCAUCAGGCAUCUCCUUUCAGUAGACAGCGAUGGAGCACACAGCUCCGACAAUGAGACCAGCCCAGCUCGCAGCCAGCUGCGCUCACCCCAGAGGCUCUCAGGGAAACGGCACACAAGCACUUAAGUCAAGGAGAUGAUCUGGCCUACCUGGCAUGCACUUCCAAGUUCACUUAAAGGCCUUGCCCACUGUGACUGCUUUACCAGGAGGGACAGAUGUUCAUUUGGAAGCCAGAAGUGUACCCUGGCCCGCAGAUGCCAGACAGUUGCAGAAGAAGAUGCCGGAAGAGCCCAGUGGAUGCAGAGCCACAGCUGAGCUCCUUGGAUGGCUUGGGGGGAGGCCUUUUGCACUCAGCUUCUUCUGGGGAUUCUCAGGUCCCGUGUGAGGAGAUGGAGUCACAGUUGCACCCUGUCCACCUGCAGGCCACCACACCAGCCUGGAACCCUGCCAUCUUCCUCAUCUCUCAGGCUCAUCUUCAUCUUGGGCCAAGUGGUUGGUUGUCCCUUGAAAACAGACAAGACAGAAAGGAUGCGUUAACUCAGCCUCUCCCCACCGAACGCAGUCCGCCAUUGCAGUUCCGAUUAAAUACAGGACAUUAUCUCACUGUAAUGCCCUCCUGGCAGCGUUCCCAGGAAAAUUCUAACUAAUCAUAAAAAUAGAAAGAAAAACGCAA
Peromyscus maniculatus bairdii (prairie deer mouse) is the source of this 834-nucleotide non-coding RNA. NCBI's taxonomy places the organism in Eukaryota, Metazoa, Chordata, Mammalia, Rodentia, Cricetidae. The record is from RefSeq and is a predicted model, not a curated record.